Molecule: non-coding RNA, 29 nt
Filed under: Cricetulus griseus (Chinese hamster)
Lineage: Eukaryota; Metazoa; Chordata; Mammalia; Rodentia; Cricetidae
Source: RNAcentral
UAAUGAAGAUGAACCAGAAGAGAAGGGUG